GACGAACGCUGGCGGCGUUCUUAACACAUGCAAGUCGAGCGGAGCGGCGAACGGGUGAGUAACUCGUGAGUAACUGCCACCCUCUCUGGGAUAACUGUUGGAAACGGCUGCUAAUUCCUGAUAGUUGGGUAUGAAUCGCGUCCUAUCAGCUUGUUGGUGGGGUAGUGGCCUACCAAGGCGACGACGGGUAGCCGGCCUGAGCGGUCGACCGGCCACAUUGGGCUUAGAUACGGCCCAAACUCGUACGGGAGGCAGAAGGGGGGAAUAUUGCACAAUGUGGGAAACCCGGAUGCAGCAACGCGCGGGCGGUAUGACGGCCUCCGGGUUGUAAACCGCGUUCAGCUAUGACGCGGUAGUGGCAGAAGAAGGAACGGCUAACUACGUGGCAGCCGCCGCGGUAAUUC
RNAcentral lists this ribosomal RNA (404 nucleotides) under uncultured bacterium. Its description in RNAcentral is "partial 16S ribosomal RNA". It matches the Rfam family "Bacterial small subunit ribosomal RNA", at positions 28 to 526 of the family's 1533-position model. The record is from RNAcentral.